This is a long non-coding RNA of Anguilla anguilla (European eel), 177 nucleotides long. RefSeq lists it as uncharacterized. Lineage: Eukaryota; Metazoa; Chordata; Actinopteri; Anguilliformes; Anguillidae. The record is from RefSeq and is a predicted model, not a curated record. The transcript is spliced from 3 exons.
UGGACCUGAAGACCAGACUUGCAUCAGUGAUUUCAGGACUUUGAAGACCAUGGAGAAAAUAAUUCUUUUGUUCCUCUUCAUCAGAGUCUUCACACUUCAAUGCCAUGCAUAGGAUGAGCUUUCAUUUAAUGAGCUGGCAGAACUUUAUCCAGAAUGGGAGAAUCCUGAUUGGAUGAG